This 240-nucleotide unclassified non-coding RNA is filed under the name Hevea brasiliensis (rubber tree). The record is from RNAcentral. Lineage: Eukaryota; Viridiplantae; Streptophyta; Magnoliopsida; Malpighiales; Euphorbiaceae.
AGCAGUGGCUGAACUGCAUCAGCAAUAGAAACACUAGAAGGAAGAUUCAAAAAUAGCGAAGCUAAUUCACAUGUCAUGGGAAGAUUGAGCAAUAAACGGCUGCAGUGUCUCAUGCAUGAUGCAACCUCAAAUUUGUCAGCAGCCAUAAGCACAUCAAGCAUAGCAGUAGCUGGUAUCGUAGACAAAGUAUUGCUAUACAUGAAUUGUAGUAACUUUACGAAGGCAGCUUCUUCCGAGGCA